GCCUAAGUUUCCCUAGGUAAUGAGGUAACCGUAGUUAAUGGAUUAACGGAUAGAUCAAUGGAUUUCCCUGGAACAGGAGCAUGUUUACCCUAGGUUGAGGAUUCUAAGUAUGUGCUUAAGGCAAAAGAGAUUCAACGGAUGGAACUCUUAUACUUUCUUCACCGCGUUAGAAGAUAACUUCACUUCCAUUCUUGAUCAUAUUAUAAGAAGGCUUGAUUUGAAGAAUAAUCUCCAUUGGAAAUUUAUGCAAAGAUGCGAACUUCUCAUCCUCUGUAGAAUUUCAUGUGAAUGAAUUUCUUGAAAUUUUACAUUGUUCACUCGAUUCGGUCCUGGAAGGGAUGAGCAAGGGAGGCCUGAUGGUAACAAAUACAACGGUAGCAUCUAUAUGGUCUUUGAAUACAUGGACCACGAUUUGAAGGGUCUUUCUGAUCGUCCUGGUAUGCUAUUCACAAUUCCCCAAAUCAAGUGCUAUAUGAAGCAGCUCUUGACAGGACUUCACUACUGUCAUGCCAAUCAACAACUGCAUCGUGACAUUAAAGGUUAUUAUCAAGCUGACACUCAUUAGUUAUUAGUCUAAUGCGGUUCAUGAAUUUUUCCAGUUUAUAUGAUGUUAGUACUGCAUGCUUUGCACGAUCUAAUCUUCUUAUAGAUAAUGAAGGAAAUCUGAAGCUUGCAGAUUUUGGUUUGGCUCGAUCAUUUUCUAAUGAUCACAAUGCCAAUCUAAUAAAUCGUGUUAUUACCUUGUGACCUCCUGAGUUGCUUCUUGGAACCACCAAGUAUGGUCCUGCUGUUGAUAUGUGGUCUGUCGGUUGCAUCUUUGCAGAGCUUCUUCAUGGAAAGGCCAUUUUGCCUGGAAAGAACGAGGUAAGUAAUUUGCUGUGAACCUGCAAGCUUUUGUUUUGAAGUCAACAAGUCAAGGGAACUAUGAGCCUUCACAUGGACACCACGAUACUGAUAUGUAGACGUGGAAAAGAAGAUGAAAUCAACUAAAUAUCAUAGAUUCAGACCCAGUUUUUCUUACAUUUGGAUUCAGGUAAUGUUAGAGCAUAUGGUGAAUAGGUGUAUUACCACACUUGUAUACUAUACAAGUAUGAUGUACUCAUGAAUCACAACACUUAACUCUCAUCCGCACCAAAGGUCUCUUAUUCCAAUUGUAUACAUACUCUAAGUUGAAUGGUUUAGGAAAUAAUUUUAGUUUCAACCAAAAUAAUAGUUAAGCAGCAUAUUACAUCAAAUGAUUGGGGAAUUUUGGUUAAGAAGGUUAUUAGACUGCUAACUGCGUAAUACACACAACAUCUCGGGUAAAUAAUUUGGGUCCUACACAUCUACUGGUAGUAGCCAAAUACGGUAGUAGUAUAUCAGCUUUUUAUGUACCUAAGCUCAUUUCAAGUCAUUAUCUUCUGUAUGGAGAAGUGCUCUACUUAAUUGUUUUUUAUUUUUAUUUUUUUGAUCAGUUUUGUUCCCUUAUUCAAUCUUUAGUAAAGUAUAAACUUCAAAUCUUACGGAAAAAUCUUAGUCACUCUUAGUAACAAUAGCCCCCUUGAUUUGUUGGAGGGAUCUGUGUCUGAAAAAAAAGUUCAGCUCUUAGUGUAAGUAAACUUUGCAGUCUUUGCUGAAUGUUGAGUCAGUUGUGCUAAAAGUGAUAUGGCUUGUAUAAUUAUCUCAAUAAAUUCAGGAUUGUUAGACUCCCCAUUCAAAGUAUUUUGUGAGUUUUUGCAUCUCCUAUUACGGUUACCUUAACUAAUUUUAUGUUGUUCAUACUCAUCCUACUCUAGGACAUCAUGCAACUGGUUGAUUUCUCACUGUUAUAAUGUCACUUUAGUUAACCUGAUUUAUUUUCAUUUUCAAUUUAAACUUCUCAUGAAUUAUAUGUUUUACGUUCUUGACCAGCUCUAGUUACAAUAUCAUCUCUCUUUUAGUGUAUAUUGUAUAGUAUGUUUCUCUCCUCUUAUAAGGAGUAUGAAUUAUUAGUCUCUACAAUUAGUUACUUUCGGGCAAAAAUUACAUCUUCAGUUUAGAGGUAGUUUGUAUGAGAAUGAAUAGAUAGGAAGCUAUCAUUCUAUAUGCCAAAUGCCUAAUCUUAGAGACAUAUAAGGGAAUGGACCUGACUCUAGUGAGAAAGUGGCUUGUAAACCGCAGUACAUUUUUAGUUUAUACAUUCAACAAGUUUAUUGUUCCCAGGUUUUAUUUUGAUGGUUGCUGCCUGUUGUGUUACUUGUCUAUCAAAUAUUGAAUGGAAUCUAUAUUUUGUCUUCGUAUGUUAUUUUUUUUAUAAUGCCAGUGAUGCCUCUUCUCCUCCAGUGCGUCAUUGUAAGCGUAUGCCCGAAUAUUAUUCGUGUAGGUGUCGCUGAAACUGCAUCUACCAUGGGGAUAGUACGACAUCACCCCAAUAAUGUACAGAUGAGACGGCCUGAAUAAAUUUUUAAGGUGUGGGUUACUCAUGAACUAUAAUUUAUUGUUACCUGUAGGAGCAUUUGUAUGUCUGGUCAAUUUUGGAUUGACCUUGAUGUGUUGUAAUCUGAAUUUAUAA
Long non-coding RNA from Papaver somniferum (opium poppy), 2530 nucleotides. RefSeq lists it as uncharacterized. The transcript is spliced from 6 exons. The record is from RefSeq and is a predicted model, not a curated record. NCBI's taxonomy places the organism in Eukaryota, Viridiplantae, Streptophyta, Magnoliopsida, Ranunculales, Papaveraceae.